Molecule: ribosomal RNA, 468 nt
Filed under: uncultured bacterium
Lineage: Bacteria
Description: partial 16S ribosomal RNA
Rfam family: Bacterial small subunit ribosomal RNA
Source: RNAcentral
GACGAACGCUGGCGGCGUGCUUAACACAUGCAAGUCGAACGGAAAGGCCCAGCUUUUGUGGGGUGCUCGAGUGGCGAACGGGUGAGUAACACGUGAGUAACCUGCCCUUGACUUUGGGAUAACUUCAGGAAACUGGGGCUAAUACCGGAUAGGAGCUCCUGCUGCAUGGUGGGGGUUGGAAAGUUUCGGCGGUUGGGGAUGGACUCGCGGCUUAUCAGCUUGUUGGUGGGGUAGUGGCUUACCAAGGCUUUGACGGGUAGCCGGCCUGAGAGGGUGACCGGCCACAUUGGGACUGAGAUACGGCCCAGACUCCUACGGGAGGCAGCAGUGGGGAAUAUUGCACAAUGGGCGGAAGCCUGAUGCAGCAACGCCGCGUGCGGGAUGACGGCCUUCGGGUUGUAAACCGCUUUCGCCUGUGACGAAGCGUGAGUGACGGUAAUGGGUAAAGAAGCACCGGCUAACUACGUG